AAGCAAGAAACUAAUAAUAUUAUGGUUUCGACCCAUGACAAGGUGUUCCACUUCACCCUUGCU
Molecule: transfer RNA, 63 nt
Filed under: Lamprotula tortuosa
Lineage: Eukaryota; Metazoa; Mollusca; Bivalvia; Unionida; Unionidae
Description: tRNA-Arg
Source: RNAcentral